AGAUGAGGCAAGGAAGCGGUUACGAGCACGGAUGCACAAGUGGAACGCAGGAAUAGCAAGGAAGUCUCACCGUGGAUCAUAUGAUAAAAUGGAAAGCUGGAACGUAAAGAGUUAAUGGAACGAAGAGUAAAAGUGAAUAAAUCUUGUGUGUCUAUGAUGCGUGCUAAUGUUAUGACUUUGUGUGGUGAGCGCAGGUAGUACGCAACACGAGGAUCAUCAAGGGAUAGAGAUCAAGGACCGAGUCACAUGAAAGAUUGUACGGGGUGUAUAAGAAUGUAAUUUGUUAUAUAUAAGUUAUGUUUUAUUCUAUAAUUGAGUUAGUUUGAUGUAUUCAAUAUAGAGGAGUUAUUUUAAAAGUGAACUUUCAAGUAAGACAUAAGGUUUAUAAUGAAAGAAAUUUUAUGGUA
This is a long non-coding RNA of Helianthus annuus (common sunflower), 407 nucleotides long. RefSeq lists it as uncharacterized. The record is from RefSeq and is a predicted model, not a curated record. The transcript is spliced from 2 exons. NCBI's taxonomy places the organism in Eukaryota, Viridiplantae, Streptophyta, Magnoliopsida, Asterales, Asteraceae.